RNAcentral lists this long non-coding RNA (9736 nucleotides) under Hordeum vulgare. Its description in RNAcentral is "long non-coding RNA (HVUL_LNC021274)". The record is from RNAcentral. Lineage: Eukaryota; Viridiplantae; Streptophyta; Magnoliopsida; Poales; Poaceae.
UUUUUUAAACUUAUUUGAACUCCAUACUUUUUGUGUGUUCAAAAUGCACCAUUCAAAGGCACAUCACAAAAUUUCAACAAUUUCCGACUUAAUUUGGUAUAUUUCUUGAAUUUACUUUUUUUUGAGCUAGUUGACCCUGAAAUUGAAAAGCACUACAAAUGAACUCUGAAAAUGUUGAAAGUUGGCAUGCUAUCAUCAUUUCACCCACAUAGCAUGUGUUAAAAAGUUGAGAGGGCUACGACAAAGACUGGAUGUAGUUCGUGUACAAAACGGACAAUCUCUCUCGAAGUAGCAGGGUUUCGAACGAGAACUCAUGUGUUACAAAGGGAUUUCAUUUUUUAAAACUUAUUUGAACUCCAUACUUUUUGUGUGUUCAAAAUGCACCAUUCAAAGGCACAUCACAAAAUUUCAACAAUUUCCGACUUCAUUUGGUAUAUUUCUUGCAUUUACUUUUUUUUGAGCUAGUUGACCCUGAAAUUGAAAAGCACUACAAAUGAACUCUGAAAAUGUUGAAAGUUGGCAUGCUAUCAUCAUUUCACCCACAUAGCAUGUGUUAAAAUGUUGAGAGGGCUAUGAAAAAAACUGGAUGCACUUCGUGUACAAAACUGACAAUCUCUCUCGAAGUAGCAGGGUUUCGAACGAGAACUGAUCUCUUACAAAGGGAUUUCAUUUUUUUUUACUUAUUUGAACUCCAUACUUUUUGUGUGUUCAAAAUGCACCAUUCAAAGGCACAUCACAAAGGGAUUUCUUCUUCUCUCAUAUAUGGUGGACACUAGCUCACCUGAUUUUUCAACCGUCGAUGAUGGUCGCUACUCCUACUUCCCCUAGUGCAUAACCAAUAUCUAGCACAAGGAGAAGAAGGAGAAGUGAUUGUUUUAAUCAAAAACAGAUCUGUUACAAAAGGAUUUCAUUUUUUGAACUUAUUUGAACUGAAGACUUUUUGCAUAUAUAUGUGGUCGAAAUGCAUGAUACCAUGAAGUUAGAAAGGGCUAAACCAUUCAAAAGUAGGAAAUGAAGUUAGAAAGGGCUAAAACAUUCAAAUUUGGAAACUAUAAUGGCACAAACAGAAAUUAGACAUAUAUAAAUUGGUCCAAGAAGUACAUGAUACUAGUCCAAACAGUACAUAAUAAUAGCUACAAUAGAUAUAUAUACAAGUGUUCGACGUUAAGAACACUACUCGUCUGAAUCAUCUGAAUCAGAAUGUCCACCUUCCUCGAGGGGAUAUAGGUGACGCUGGCCAUAGUGGAUGACUCGAAUCUUGCGGUACAACUCGUAUGAAACAUAUGCAUCUUUUGCUGCAUACUCAAUGUUGAUAUCAUCAAGUGGGCCCUUCUCCCAAAGUCUGUGCUGAGACCUUGGGAAACUGGUCUUAUAUCAGCAUAUGAAUCGUCGAUCAAGGCAACUGCCAUACGAGCCAUCGAAGUCCUGUCAUGUUGAAGCUUGAAUAUCGUUUGGAUAUCAACGAGGCAACCAGCUGGUAUCUCAAUAUCGAAGCUGUGCCUCAUCUUCAGCCUGUCGUUCCUUAUGUCAACGGAAGCAAAAGUGACGCCGCUGCGAAGGAACUCCAUGAGUCCUGGACAAUGCUUGUCACUCCUGCAACAGAAACAAAUUAAAAUGGACCAAAUGUUACAUACUGCUGCAAUAAGGAAACAUGUUUCACUACAAGUAAAUAGAAACUUAUCUUUAGGAUUCAUAUAGCACAUAUGCAAUGGAACCUAGAGAUAGAUUAUGAACCUACUGCUGCAAUAAGGAAACAUGUUUCACUACAACUAUUUGAAGGGAACCAACUAUGAUAGAAACAAAUAAACUUAUACUUGGAAUUCACUAUGAUAGAUUAUGGACAUUAUGCAUAAUAUGCAAACAAAAGAAAGCUUGUUAACUAGUAAAUCCAAACUACAAACUAAGUCUUAUCGGAUUGACAAAAUUCGAUCCAAUGUGAAUUAUAAAUGAACACAAAUAAAUCAAAUGUACUCCACACAUACUACACUACUAAAUCAAAUGUACAAAUACACAAAAUCAAAUGUACUACACUACUAAAUCAAAUGUAUUCCACUACUAAAUCAAAUGUACUACACUACUAAAUCAAAUGUACUACACUACUAAAUCAAAUGUAUUCCACACAUACUACACUACUAAAUCAAAUGUACAAAUACACAAAAUCUACUACGCUACUUAAUCAGAUACACAAAUACACAAAAUCCAUGUGAACGUGGGAGUAGUGACCCUAGGGGAGGGAUUAUCUUGGAUCAAAGAAAGCCUCAAAACUUACUUCGCCCAUUGGAAGAUCAAGACAUGGCUUGCAAAGCAUAUUUGGAUGACGGCAACACCACGUUGAUCGGCCGUGUACUCCAGAUCAAGCCCGAAGAACUUCUCAUGAUCCGGUGCGUGGUUAAACCAUCGUUCCUUCAACUGUUCAAGGAAAUACGGCACCUCCGUGCUCAGGUUCGUGUACACGACACAGAGCUUUGUCGCGCCAUGCACGACCACCUCACGAAAGAUAGUUGGCAUGGUGGAAGAAGAGAAGGGAAGAAGAGAGGAGAAGAACAGAGAGGGCGACGCGAGAGAGAAGAAGAACAGAGAGGGCGACGCGAGAGAGAAGAAGAACAGAGAAAUGGCGACUGUACACUUCUGUUCGUGCUUUUCAUCGCCCGAAACGACGCGGGAUACAAACCGUUUGGGCCAUUAAUCCCGGUUUGAGCCACCAACCGGGACUAAAGAGGUAUACCAAACGGUUGCCACCACUACGGCAGGCCACGUGUUAGGCUUUUAGUCCAGGGUUCAACCACCAACCGGGACUAAAGAGGUAUGCCAACGGUCGCCCCACUACGGCAGGCCACGUGUUAGUCCUUUAGUCCCGGGUUGAGCCACCAACCGGGACUAAAGAGGUAUACCAACCGCCGCCACAAUGACGGCAUGCCACGUGUUAGGCCUUUAGUCCCGGAUUGAGCCACCAACCGGGACUAAAGGGGGAUACGAACGGUUGCCACCACCACUGCCCGCCGCGUAGCCCUUUAGUCCCGGUUUGGGACACGAACCGGGACUAAAGGCUCCUUACGGCCCGGGACUAAAGCCUCGAGGGAGGCAUUGAGAAUUGGGGCGACGUGGCCGGGCCUUUAGUCCCGGCCCAGAGGCACUCCAGGACUAAAUGGUCCAGGCCAAAGGCCCGUUUUCUACUAGUGCCCCCUGGCCGCACCUAGGGGGCUUGUGGGCUCCCUGCUGGCCCACUGGCUCCCCUCUUCUGCUAUAUGAAGGGUUUCGUUCCGAAAGAAAUCAGGAGGAGGCUUUUCGGAGGAUUCGCCGCCGCCACGAGGCGGAACUCGAGCAGAACCAAUCUAGAGCUCCAGCAGGACGAUCCUGCCGGGGAAACUUCCCUCCCAGAGGGGCAAAUCGUCGCCAUCGUCAUCACCAACACUCUUCUCAUCGGAGGGGACUCGUCACCAUCAACAUCUUCAUCAGCACCAUCUCAUCUCCAAACCCUAGUUCAUCACUUGUAACCAAUCUCCGUCUCGCGACUCCGAUUGGUACUUGUAAGGUUGCUAGUAGUGUUAAUUACUCUUUGUAGUUGAUGCUAGUUGGAUUACUUGGUGGAAGAGUUUAUGUUCAGAUCCUUGAUGUGUUGGGGAAUGUCGCAUGGGAAACAAAAAUUUUCCUACGCGCACGAAGACCUAUCAUGGUGAUGUCCAUCUACGAGAGGGGAUGAGAGAUCUACGUACCCUCGUAGACCGUACAGCAGAAGCGUUAGAGAACGCGGUUGAUGUAGUGGAACGUCCUCACGUCCCUCGAUCUGCCCCGCGAACAAUCCCGCGAUCAGUCCCACGAUCUAGUACCGAACGGACGACACCUCCGCGUUCAGCACACGUACAGCUCGACGAUGAUCUCGGCCUUCUUGAUCCAGCAAGAGAGACGGAGAGGUAGAAGAGUUCUUCGGCAGCGUGACGGUGCUCCGGNNNNNNNNNNNNNNNNNNNNNNNNNNNNNNNNNNNNNNNNNNNNNNNNNNNNNNNNNNNNNNNNNNNNNNNNNNNNNNNNNNNNNNNNNNNNNNNNNNNNUGCAGGCAGACGACAAAGAAAGUGGCCGUUAGGGGGGAGAGAGGGGCUGCGGGGUGGGCCGCCCAUGCUCUUUGCCGUCUGCCUGCAUGCUCUUUGUCGUGAGCUGGCAGACGGCAAAGAGCUGGCUGAUGGCAAAUAGUACCUUUGGCAUCAGCGUGCGCUUUGCCGUCUGGUUUCUGGUAGCUGAUGGCAAAGAGGGUCUUUGCCAUCAGCCAGCAGACGGCAAAGAAGCAGCAGAUGGCAAAUAACUGUUUUCCAGUAGUGAAUGGGUACACUCACAUCUUAGUCGCUGUUGAUUAUGUCACUAAGUGGGUAGAAGCUAUCCCCACUAGAAAUGCUGAUCAUCACACCUCUAUUAAGAUGCUUAAAGAAGUCAUUUUCCCAAGGUUUGGAGUCCCUAGAUAUCUGAUGAGUGAUGGCGGUUCACACUUCAUUCAUGGUGUUUUCCGCAAGAUGCUUGCUAAGUAUUAUGUCAACCGUAGGGUUGCAUCUCCUUAUCAUCCUCGGUCUAGUGGUCAAGUGGAGUUGAGUAAUAGGGAGAUCAAAUUGAUCUUACAAAAGACUGUUAAUAGAUCUCGAAAGAAUUGGUCUGGUAAACUUGACGAUGCAAUAUGGGCUUAUAGGACUGCUUAUAAGAAUCCCAUGGGCAUGCCGCCGUAUAAAAUGGUUUAUGGUAAGGCCUGUCAUUUACCUCUUGAGCUAGAACACAAGGCUUAUUGGGCAAUAAAGAGCUUAACUUCGAUUUCAACCUUGCUGGUGAGAAGCGGUUGUUUGAUAUCAGCUCAUUAGAUGAAUGGAGGGCCCAGACAUAUGAGAAUGCCAAGUUGUUCAAGGAAAAGGUUAAGAGAUUGCAUGAUAAAAGAAUACAGAAACGAGAGUUCAAUGUAAGUGAUUAUGUCCUGCUAUACAAUUCUCGCUUAAGAUUCUUCGUAGGCAAGCUUCUCUCUAAAUGGGAAGGUCCUUACGUUGUCGAGGAAGUAUAUCGUUCCGGUGCCAUCAAAAUCAAUAACACGGAAGGAAAUUUUCCUAGAGUGGUAAAUGGGCAAAGAAUCAAGCAUUAUAUCUCUGGUACACCCAUAAAUGUUGAGACCAAUAUCAUCAAUAUCAUAACUCCAGAGGAGUACAUAAGGGAUGUUUAUCAGCCUGUUUCUGACCCUGAAAACGAAGAGGUAUGUGUUUCGGUAAGUAAUUGGACUCCGAAGCUUUUCCAAUAGGAAAUUUCCUCCGUUUUGGAAUUUUUGGAAAAUUAGAAAAAUAAAAGCAGUCCGGAGAGCGCACGAGGCAGCCACAAGCUUGGUAGCCGCCACCUACCCCCCUGGCGGCGGCUACAGGGCUUGUGGGCACCUCGUGUGCCUCCCGGACUCCGUUUUCUUGCGGAGCACUCCUUCUGGUCCAGAAAAAAUCAUUAUAUAUACGACUGAGGGUUUUGAUCUCCGUAUCACGCAGUUUUCCUCUGUUUUCAUUUCGAGCCUGUUUCUGUUGCAGAUCUAGAUCAUCAUGACUUCCCCAAAAGCUCCUAAGGACAAGAUCUUCGAUAAGGUCAUCAAUCCCGAUCUCACGGAAGUGCUGAAACACCCUCAAUCUAUCAAGAUGAGCGAGGGGAUGUUGCACAUCCGUGAUGUUGAGGGGCCUAAGAAGAUCGGAAGCAUGGAGACGAGGGUCGAAGCAAUGGAGCAACAAGUCUUCAAGUGCCAAGGGAUGGUGGAGCGUGGACUCAACGCCAACCACAUGAUGAUCACGGAGUUCACCAGCAAGCACAAGAUGGAUGCCAUUGACAUUGGGAAACAUCUCUCCAGGCUCUAUGACAGGGUUGAUCAACUUCAGGGCCAGAUCUAUGUCCUGCAGAACCAAAACUGUGAGUAUGAGUAUAGAUUUAAAUCAAUACGGUUGGUUGCAGAUUUGAGGAUUCCGGCGACUCGUUCAUCCUGCCAUGAUGGAGCACCUAUGCCUUGGAAGACGGAGGAUCAGACUACCACAACAACUCCACCACCACCACCACCAAAGGAAGACAACUAAGCAUUGGUAUGGGCAAUCCCCUUGGCUUUUGCCAAGCUUGGGGGAGUUGCCCUGGUAUCGUAUCACCUUUAUAUCUUUUGCUUUUACCUUUGUUUUAGUUCUUUCCUUUUUAGUUUUUUAUUUCUUCUCUUAGUGGAAUAAGUCUUUAGUGUUUAGUUUGAGUCUUUUUCUUUGUGUCUCCCCCGAUGUAUUCGAGCUUGCGAGCUAUAUAAUAAAGAGUAUCUUAGUCAAGGGCUUUGUUUUGUGCCAUGAUCAAAAGUAUGAAAAGAACGAUAGCAUGAAAGAUCAUGAGAUGAUCUUAUGGAAAGUGAUAGCUUCACAUAUAACAAGUAUGAUGAUUGAAACUUGUUGAGAACAAACCAACAUAGACCUCAGUCAUUGUUGCAAUUAAUAAGAAGUAAUAAGGAAAGAGAGGUUCACAUAUAAAUAUAUCAUCUUACACACUUUCUAUAAUUGUGAGCACUCACCAAACUAUUACAUGCUUAGAAGUAAAUGUUGGACAAGGAAGACAACAUAAUGAAUUGUGUUUGCUUGGUUCCAAACAAUGUUAUAUGAUUAGAGAUCCCUUAGCAUGUGACGAUUGCUUCCACCUCAUAUUAGCCAAAACUCCCGCACCAAGUAAAGAUACUACUUGUGCAUCCAUAAACCUCCAACCCAGUUUUGCCAUGAGAGUCCACCAUACCUACCUAUGGAUUGAAUAAGAUCCCUCAAGUAAGUUGUCAUCGGUGCAAGCAAUAAAAAAUGCUCUCUAAUAUGUAUGAUCUAUUAGUGUGUGGAAAAUAAGCUUUAUACGAACCCGUGAUGAGGAAGACAUAAAAGCGAUAGACUGCAUAAUAAAGUUCUUUAUCACAGGAGGCAAUAUAAAGUGACGUUCCUCCGCACUAAGAGGACACGCAUCCAAACCUCAAAAGCGCAUGACAACCUCUGCUUCCCUCUGCGAAGGGCCUUUCUUGUACCUUUACUUUUUGCCCUUGUAAGAGUCAUGGUGAUCUUCACCAAUUCCCUAUUUUGCCUUUGUCUUGGCUACCGUCACAUGCUUGGGAAAGAUCUAUAUUCAUAUAUCAACUUGGAGAUGAGUACUUAUGCUUUAUUAUUGUUGACUUUACCCUUGAGGUAAAUGGUUGGGAGGCAAAACUAUAAGCCCCUAUCUUCCUCUGUGUCUAGCUGAAACUUUGAUACCAUGAGUACCACGUGAGUUGUAACAAUUGUGGAAAAAAGAGAUGAUUGAGUAUGUGGGUUUGCUUUACAAGCUCUUAUUUGACUCUUUCUGAUGUUAUGAUAAAUUGCAAUUGCUUCAAUGACUAUGGACUGUUGUUGGCUACUUCUGGGUAAAGUUUUUGUUUCAUACUUUGCCUUGUGAAGGAAUUGUUACUUUCUCAUAAGAAUCUUUAGGAUGUAUUGCUGUUCUAUGUGUGAUCAUGAUGCCCUCAUGUCCGUAUUAUGUUUUAUCAACACCUUCAUCCCUAAACAUGUGGACAUGUUUAUGGAACUUGGUUUUUGCUUGAGGACAAGCGAGGUCUAAGCUUGGGGGAGUUGAUACGUCCAUUNNNNNNNNNNNNNNNNNNNNNNNNNNNNNNNNNNNNNNNNNNNNNNNNNNNNNNNNNNNNNNNNNNNNNNNNNNNNNNNNNNNNNNNNNNNNNNNNNNNNCUUCUCUCUAUCUGCUGCCGUGGUCGGUGACCGAGUCUUACUCAAUCUCAUACCUUGCAAAACUGGCAAGAACCCUUUCUUUGAGUUUUCCAUAUUGAACUUCUUCAAUAUCUUGUCAAGGUAUGUACUUUGCGAAAGACCUAUGAGGCGUCUUGAUCUAUCUCUAUAGAUCUUGAUGCCUAAUAUGUAUGCAGCUUCUCCAAGGUCCUUCAUUGAAAAACUCUUGUUAAAAUAGGCCUUUAUGCUCUCCAACAUCUCUAUAUGAGGAAAGCUACAGAGCUCCCACUCACUUUCUUGUACAGACAGGCUUCUCCGUAAACCUGUAUGAACCCAAACGCUUUAAUCACCUCAUUAAAGCGAAUGUUCCAACUCCGAGAUGCUUGCACCAGCCCAUAGAUGGAGCACUGGAGCUUGCACACUUUGUUAGCACCCUUAGGAUCGACAAAACCUUCUGGUUGCAUCAUAUACAACUCUUCCUUAAGGUUCCCGUUAAGGAACGCUGNNNNNNNNNNNNNNNNNNNNNNNNNNNNNNNNNNNNNNNNNNNNNNNNNNNNNNNNNNNNNNNNNNNNNNNNNNNNNNNNNNNNNNNNNNNNNNNNNNNNGAAGAAGAAGAGAAAUGGACGAAUUGGGUUGGAAAUUUUCGAAGUCCCGCUUAUAUAGGUGGAUCUAUAGUCCCGGUGCGUGACUUGGGCCGGGACUAAAGCCCCUCCUCGGCUGCACGAUAAGUUUAGUCCCACCUCGCCCAGCGAGGGGGACUAACACUUGUUUAUAAGCCCCGUCGCAGCUUCUCCAUCGAGCUCCUCUCUAAAGCAGGCUUAUGGGUCUAAACUCACUGAAAAUUGUAACUAUAUUAGAAAUUAUAGGGAAAAUUCAAUCUAAAUUCAAAUGAGAAUUUAGGUUGAAUUUUCUCUAUGAUCUCGAAUAUAGUUUCAAUUUUUUUUUAUUUUCAUAAUUAAUAAUUUUGACUAUCCAAACUAUUAUCUAUUUUUUUAUUUUCAAUUAAAAACUAUGUUUAUUAAUAUUUUUUUUGCAUAUUUGAGAAUUUGACAAAACUAUGAUAAUGAAAAGUGUUUCAAAUUGAAUAAAUAAUGCAAAACUAUUUUUUAUUUUCAUAAUUAAUAAUUUUGACUAUCCAAACUAUUAUCUAUUUUGUUAUUUUCAACUAAAAACUGUGUUUAUUAAAAAUUCUUUUUGCAUAUUUGAGAAUUUGACAAAACUAUGAUAAUGAAAAGUGUUUGAAAUUGAAUAAAUAAUUCAAAACUAUUUUCUAUUUUCAAAAGUAAUUAUUUUGACUAUCCAAACUAUUAACUAUUUUGUUAUUUUCAAUUAAAAACUGUGUUUAUUAAAAAUUCUUUUUGCAUAUUUGAGAAUUUGANNNNNNNNNNNNNNNNNNNNNNNNNNNNNNNNNNNNNNNNNNNNNNNNNNNNNNNNNNNNNNNNNNNNNNNNNNNNNNNNNNNNNNNNNNNNNNNNNNNNGCUGCUGGGGUUUUCCUAAACCUAUAUCUCAAUGCAAAUUGUAGUUCUGAAUUCUCAUGCUUCUGAAGAGGUGGACUGUCGGGCGACGUCAGGAGUACAGAAUUAAAACAGACGACAGUAAGGAAGUUAUUUAUUAUGUUACAGGUAGUGCAACGGUUUGAGAAGGUCAAUACGUAAAAUACCAUUGUUUUGUAGUAGAAUUAACGAAGAAGACAGCUUAUGUAAAAAACCUGAAAAACAACAAUGUACUGUAGGAUACAACUUAUAUAUAGCCAGAAUUUGGUUCACAUGUUAAUCAAAACAUUUGCAAUAUGCUAAAUCAAAUACUAGAAAUCAGUAUCUUCUUUUUAAGGGUGAAAACACAUAUUUGCGAAGUUCUAAAGUUUCUGCCAGCUAGCUGCACAUAGUACCAAAUGGCAAAACUGAAUUAUAUUGUUUCCACUCAACAACUUCUACUUAGAGCAUCCCUAACCGAUACCUUAUAAUCUAGAGGAGCAAACCGCACGGUAUCCUAAACUUACAUUUCUCCUCUAUAAAAGUGUGGUUCCUUA